AGGGCGGCGAAGCCGCGAGGUGGAGCGAAUCCCAAAAAGACCGGUCUAAGUUCGGAUUGCAGGCUGCAACCCGCCUGCAUGAAGUCGGAAUCGCUAGUAAUCGCGAGUCAGCAUAUCGCGGUGAAUACGUUCCCGGGUCUUGUACACACCGCCCGUCACACCAUGGGAGUUGGCAACACCCGAAGUCCGUAGCCUAACUUUAACGAGGGGGCGCGGCCGAAGGUGGGUUCGAUAAUUGGGGUGAAGUCGUAACAAGGUAGC
Molecule: ribosomal RNA, 261 nt
Filed under: uncultured bacterium
Lineage: Bacteria
Description: partial 16S ribosomal RNA
Rfam family: Bacterial small subunit ribosomal RNA
Source: RNAcentral